RNAcentral lists this long non-coding RNA (380 nucleotides) under Homo sapiens (human). RNAcentral's name for it is "HSALNT0127309". Lineage: Eukaryota; Metazoa; Chordata; Mammalia; Primates; Hominidae. The record is from RNAcentral.
CACUAUUAAAAUCUUGGAGGAGAGAGAUUUUUACACUCAGACUCCUACUGACUUUAGAGGACUGACUGAACUGUUAGAAAUCACAGUGAAGUCUGGCAGUUCUUUGUAAUUCAGCCAUAGCCAGACAAAGAGGUUUUGUGUUAAAUGAAGUUUGCAAGUCUUGACUGAAGGUUUAAUUACCAUAGUCAUAAGCAGGGCACACUUUAGGGGGUUUGACCAUAACAAAUGAAUAAGACAUUGAUGUUCAUUCAAUAGUGGCAAGUUUCAAACAGAGGAUAGGUCUGUUAGUUGGUGUGCGUUCUCUUUUGCCUUUCAGAAACCUGAAGGACAAAGUAUUACAUAAUGUUUGGUGAUAUUGGUGAUACUAAGCCUGGGCAGCA